RNAcentral lists this long non-coding RNA (3014 nucleotides) under Homo sapiens (human). Its description in RNAcentral is "long non-coding RNA NONHSAT196680.1". Lineage: Eukaryota; Metazoa; Chordata; Mammalia; Primates; Hominidae. The record is from RNAcentral.
AAUGGCACUUUUGACAGAUUUUCCUUAUUUGUCUGUGAAGGGGAUUCAGAUCAUUCAAGAUGGACUCAAGUGGUUGCUAAGGCAACAGUGUUACAGUCGUCACUGUCAUGGAAACCCGUUCUGUGGCGUAAUAUAAAUAUUUUCCUCAAGUUGUUUUCUAAUGCUCACGCGCUAUGGCCGAAGUCUGCAAUGGAUGGGAGAAAGGGGAGGACCAAAUUAGCUCAGAUUCUUUACAGUUCACAGCAUCAGCUGUUUUAUUUAUUUGUUUUAGAUAGCGAAGCCAAAAAAAGUUGGAUGGGGGCAAAAAUGCCAACUAAAAUAGCUCAUAGUUCUGAAGUAGAGAGAAGUCAGAAUUUCCCGUUUUCUCUUGUUUCUCUCAGGGAUGGUCUAUAUGACUGGCGCUCCUUGGAAGCAGUGCUGAGGGCAUUAUCAAGAGUUUCCAGGGCCUCCUCUUUCUCCUGAAACCUUCUUCAAGGAGGGUAAAGUUUUAAGAGAGUUCAAAAGUACCACAGACUUCCAGGGAAUAGUAGUUUUUGUCGUGACAAGCAUGGACAUUUUCUUGCGUCAUGUACUAUUUCAGAAGGUAGAGACCACAAAAAGGCUUCUUACUGUGGCCACCGUGGACAUCUUCCCACAUCUACAAGGUGUUGUGGCCACAUCAUUGCUGCACCCAGUUUCCUCAGAAGAAAUACCUGUUGCUUAGGUUUAGAAACGAGGCAUGUAUACGUAUUUAACAGUUCUCAGAAUGUCAAGGAUCCCUCCUCAGAGCAAGAGCUCGAAUUUACAAAAGAAGCACUACCUCCUUUAUCACAUAGUAAAAUAAAGGACCGUGUCUGCUCCAGGACAUGGCUGGUUACAAUUUUGUUUUAAAGAAAUCACCAGAGAAACCUGAGAUUCCAACCCAGCCUUUUGUUUGCCUGGGAUUAUAGCCCAGUUCUUACAAGCAGAGAAGCCUAGGACACUAACCCAGCUUCAAGAGUAUACUCAGAAUCUCAAGAAUCACAAUCUGUGCUGCCCAUUCUUCAACAGACUGUCAUCUGGAGGCCUGGAUUGGAUCAGGAGUCGGGCUCACCAAUGGAGCCCCAAUCAGUCAGUCAGGAGUGAAGAUGAAAGCUUCAAACACUACACCCUCCCCCGCCCACCGCCUCAGCAACCAACCUCCAGGGAGGGGAAAGGGGGCAGAAGUUUGAGUUAAUAACUAAUAGCUAAAGAUGUAAACAAUAAGCCUCCAUAAAACCCCAAAAGGACUGGACUGGUUUCUGAGAGCUUCCAGGUUGUUGAGCACGUGGAGGUUCUGGGAGGGUCCACACCCAGAGAAGGCAUGGAAGCUGACCCCUUCCCCAUACCUUGCUCUUUGCAUCUCUUCCAUUUGGCUGUUCCCGAGUUGUAUACUUUGUAAUAAGUGGGAUUUCCACCCAACAACAAUUCAGCCACACUGCUUCACACAUCUAGAAUCCAUCCAAAAUUGUAAAGGCUUUGUGGCACUACAGUGAAACAGGCAAGAACAUCUUCCAAACAGCCAGCACAAGAGCACACAGGAGGCCGGCAUAAUCACGAAUUGCAGCUGUCUGAAGGGCAGUCACAUAAAAGAGGAGAAGCUUCACCUUUGCUUCACAAGGCACAUCUUGAACCAGGGAUGGAAAUUACAGAGAGGCCAAAACCAGCUCGGUGUGAGCAGGACUGGUAACAGACUGGCCAAGCAACAGAAGGGGCUGCCCUGUGAAGAAGCAAGCUCUCUGUCAAUGGGAGGUGCAAGCUGAGCCUGCACUACCUUUUGUCACGGUUGCUAUGGAAAAGAUUAAGAGCCCGGGCUGCUUGAGUGUCUGCAUGACAUGGCAGCUGGCUCCCUGAAGAGCACGUGAUCCGAAAGAGAGAGCAAGACAGAAGCGCAGUGUCUUCAACAGCAUAUCUUUGAAAGUCAUAUUCCACCGUUUUCACUACAUUCUAUUGAUAAGUGAGUCACUCAGAAUAGCCUACAUUCAAGGGGCCUGGCUGUUCCCACCUCAAACCACUUCUUAGCUUCAUUUGUUCUCAUAACAACAGGAUAGCCCUUCCUCCUCUGGGGGCCUGGGCAUCAGCAAGUCGGAUGGCAGUGGAAGGUGGAGAAAUGGAAUCCUGCUGGGGGCUCAGGAGGCCUGCCCCCUGAUGCUGCCGUGCACUGCAGAUGUCCUUGAUGAAGAGAAUGAAUGGAAGGUAUUGGAAGGGAGCUGAAGUUCAACAAAUGACCACCUAAUGAAAAAGUCAGCAGUGGAUUGCUUGAGAUCUUGAGCACCCUGUACUGUUAUUAGUAUUUAUAAACAUGUUUGAAAGAUGUUCCCUUCCUUCACUGUAGUGCCAGAAAGCCUUUAACAUAUUGGGUCCGGUCUAGAUUUGUAAGGAAGUAUGGCUGAAUUGUUAUCGGGUGGAUACAGUUUACAUGUUUAAAGCUGUCUUUCUCAAUGGCAAAAGGGCAUACUGCUGUUAUUGUCAGUGAGGGGUCAGUAGUUUAAAUGAUGAAACUCUGGGGAUCAGCGUAAAGUAAACCAACAUACUGCAUGUAAGUAUCAAGUAAAUGAGCAGAGACAGCCCCUGGUUUACAAACACCUGACUUAAGCAUCGUCCAUCCUACAGGUAAAUUCCUCAUUCUUACUGCUGUGAGAACAAUUGUUAGGAGCCAAAAACUUCAGAGCUUUCAAAGAACUGUAAUGAGAUAGCACAAUGCAGGCAAAAAGCCAGUGUUAACGGAGCAAGAAACUUCCCAGUUCUGACAUUCACAGCAUGACCUAGAGCAUGCGGAUUCCCCUCUCUGAGUCACUGGUUUCUCACCUGCAAAAGAAAGCGGGGACAGGGAAGGAGGAAGAAGCUUCGAGAGGCUGGAACAGUUGAGGGAGCGCUGACACGGUAAAGGCCACUUUGCUCAUCAUCACCAGGCGUGCUGCCGAAAAUUUCCACUCUGUUUACUCCCAAGACCUUACUCCUACUAUGUGGAGACACAUUUGAAUAAAAAAUUGGCCUCUUUUCAAAGUCAAAAUUCU